Molecule: transfer RNA, 77 nt
Filed under: Cellulomonas gilvus ATCC 13127
Lineage: Bacteria; Bacillati; Actinomycetota; Actinomycetes; Micrococcales; Cellulomonadaceae
Description: tRNA-Thr
Rfam family: tRNA
About the family: Transfer RNA (tRNA) molecules are approximately 80 nucleotides in length. Their secondary structure includes four short double-helical elements and three loops (D, anti-codon, and T loops). Further hydrogen bonds mediate the characteristic L-shaped molecular structure. tRNAs have two regions of fundamental functional importance: the anti-codon, which is responsible for specific mRNA codon recognition, and the 3' end, to which the tRNAs corresponding amino acid is attached (by aminoacyl-tRNA synthetases). tRNAs cope with the degeneracy of the genetic code in two manners: having more than one tRNA (with a specific anti-codon) for a particular amino acid; and 'wobble' base-pairing, i.e. permitting non-standard base-pairing at the 3rd anti-codon position.
Source: RNAcentral
GCCUCCUUAGCUCAGAUGGCCAGAGCAGCUGUCUUGUAAACAGCAGGUCGUCGGUUCGAAUCCGACAGGGGGCUCCG